This is a long non-coding RNA of Scylla paramamosain (green mud crab), 1392 nucleotides long. RefSeq lists it as uncharacterized. Lineage: Eukaryota; Metazoa; Arthropoda; Malacostraca; Decapoda; Portunidae. The transcript is spliced from 5 exons. The record is from RefSeq and is a predicted model, not a curated record.
GCCAGCCUGCACCAGCCUGUGCGUCCAUCUCAGUGUUGGCUGCGCUACCUGCGGACUGAAUGGAGACAGGGAUGCUGGGAGCGUCAUUGGUGACCUCGCAUUGCCGGAUGGUGAUAAGUGUUGGCUGCGCUACCUGCGGACUGAAUGGAGACAGGGAUGCUGGGAGCGUCAUUGGUGACCUCGCAUUGCCGGAUGGUGAUAAGCAGGCCAGGCAGUAUCUCAGUGUUGCCUCCACUGUGCUGGUGACGAGCGGAGCAGGGGCAGGGGGCAGCGUGACGGCUUACACGGGACAGCUAGGCAAGUAAGCUAGUGGGGGCAUGGCCAUGAAGGGACGGGUUACCAUGAACUGAAUCCUGCACUGUGUCCUGUGUGACCCUGUGUGAGGCUGCCUGCACCACCCACCAACAUCGCUUCCUUCACUACCACCACAAGCACGCCUGCCACCAUCACCUCACCAGCAUCAGGUUAGUGACGGGACGGGUAGGGCGGGACGUGAAAGGAGGCGCUGUUGACAAGUACCCACACACCUCGUUUUCCUUGCCUUUCGUGAACUUUAGAUGCAGUUCCUGGCGUGGCUUUGACUGUGUUCGUCUUGUUGAAGCCAUCGCCCGAAGUGGAGCUGAAAUAUUUGCACGUUGUAUUCUAAAUCAAAGGAUCAUGUUACUUGGGGAAUGGCUGAUGCAGUUUUUGAAGUCCGUAUCAGGUGGGAGAUGAAAUGAAAUGUUAGGAGUGUUUUGUUUAUUGGUAUGUCUGUACUGUAAAAGAUCAUGUCAAGGGGGAAAAAAAACCCUUAUUAUGUUUAAAGUUUGUGUUAGGAAUGGGUGGUAUUUGUGUGUAUUUAUGUGUGAUGCAUCUGUACUCUAAGGGAUUGCGUUGCGGGAUAAUUCUUUAGUGAAAUUGUUAAAGUUUGUGAGAAGCUGGAAUCUUGACUGGGUGGCAUUUAUUGGCUCAUUAGUAGUUUGAAGUACUAUAUCGCAGCGGAAGUCUCUGAUAUAGUCGUUUAAGUCUUGAUGUUAUGUAAGGACUGUUGGUUACUUCGUAUAUCUGUACUGUAAAAGGUUAUGUUAUUGGGGAGGUCUUUGAUAUACUCGUUUAAGUUUGCAUAAAGUUAAGGCUGUUCAGAUCACGUGUAUUGAAAUGUCUCUACUGUGCAAGCUUAUAUUACUGGAAGACAUUUUUUUAUGCAAUUUUUCAAAGUUCGUUUUAAGUAAAGCUCACAUUUAAAUAAUUUACUUUCGGAGCUUAAAAGUAACAAACAAUGAGGAAGUUGUGUAAAAAUGUCAAAAAAUGUUCUGCUUUCACUACAAAAAAAUUUUUAGUCGUAUUCAUGUUUAAUUGUAGAGAACAGAUAUGGAAAAAAUUACACGAAAAAUGUAAGAAGAAAGAUUGAAA